RNAcentral lists this ribosomal RNA (492 nucleotides) under uncultured bacterium. RNAcentral's name for it is "partial 16S ribosomal RNA". It matches the Rfam family "Bacterial small subunit ribosomal RNA", at positions 29 to 507 of the family's 1533-position model. The record is from RNAcentral.
AGUGAACGCUGGCGGUAGGCCUAACACAUGCAAGCCGAACGGCAGCACAGUAAGAGCUUGCUCUUACGGGUGGCGAGUGGCGGACGGGUGAGGAAUACAUCGGAAUCUACUUUUUCGUGGGGGAUAACGUAGGGAAACUUACGCUAAUACCGCAUACGACCUACGGGUGAAAGCAGGGGAUCUUCGGACCUUGCGCGAUUGAAUGAGCCGAUGUCGGAUUAGCUAGUUGGCGGGGUAAAGGCCCACCAAGGCGACGAUCCGUAGCUGGUCUGAGAGGAUGAUCCGGCACAACGGAAAUGAGACACGGGCCCGACUCCUACGGGAGGCAGCAGUGGGGAAUAUUGGACAAUGGGCGCAAGCCUGAUCCAGCCAUACCGCGUGGGUGAAGAAGGCCUUCGGGUUGUAAAGCCCUUUUGUUGGGAAAGAAAAGCAGCAGGUUAAUACCCCGCUGUUCUGACGGUACCCAAAGAAUAAGCACCGGCUAACUUCGUG